Molecule: long non-coding RNA, 768 nt
Organism: Lutra lutra (Eurasian river otter)
Lineage: Eukaryota; Metazoa; Chordata; Mammalia; Carnivora; Mustelidae
Exons: 3
Source: RefSeq, a predicted model, not a curated record
UACACUUCCAGCCAGGCUUAGAGAAGAAUGAGCAAGAUGAUGAUGGUGAAGAUGACGAACAGAAGGAGAAGAAGUUAUAAGCUCACUGGUGGGUUUUUCAGGUCUCAAAAUGACAGGGAGCCAAAAGUGUCCUGUGAAAACAUCCUGCUUAAUUUAAGUUUGACAACAAGGAUAGGAUGGCUGGGUAUCCCCCACCUGUUCCAGAGAUUGAAGAUGAGACCACAAGAACACUGAUGAACCUGCCAAUGGUUGGCAGGAGGAAACACAUGAAGGAACUAAUUUUGGGGUACCGUAACCUUUGGGUGUUCUCAGUUUUGUCUAUUCUUGAUUAUAUACAUUUUCCCUACCAUGGAUAGGCAAUGGUCCUAUUUGUCUCAUUUUGUGUCCUAAGAGCUUGGCUUGGAUUCAGUGAGAGAAUUUUCUCUGAGUUUGCACCUGCCAGGGGGUACAGAUUAUUGGGCCUGCAUAGGCAGCCAACCAUAAGCUGAGGGCCCCAGAAAUCUAUAAUCAACUAAACAGAAAUGUUUAUAUCUUUUUCUAUACCUGAAAUCUUAUUGAGAUGCCAAAACAGGUGAUCAGUACCACUCCCCUUUCUUUACGAACUAAUCUUUUUACCUGAUUCAUAGCAGAUGCCCUCCUGACCAUUGCCAACUCUCAGGGGAUCUAUCUUUCCCCAUGGCCUUGCUAGCUCAGAGAGUUUCUGAGACAAUAAGGGUCUUUCUUUCUCUUUUCUCUUUUGGGGUGACUUUGGAUCACGGCAGUUGCAUC